GCCCCCAUCGUCUAGCCAGGUCCAGGACAUCGGCCUUUCACGCCGGCGACAGGGGUUCGAAUCCCCUUGGGGGCG
RNAcentral lists this transfer RNA (75 nucleotides) under Caldimicrobium thiodismutans. It matches the Rfam family "tRNA". Rfam says of the family: Transfer RNA (tRNA) molecules are approximately 80 nucleotides in length. Their secondary structure includes four short double-helical elements and three loops (D, anti-codon, and T loops). Lineage: Bacteria; Pseudomonadati; Thermodesulfobacteriota; Thermodesulfobacteria; Thermodesulfobacteriales; Thermodesulfobacteriaceae. The record is from Rfam by way of RNAcentral.